ACCUGGCUGGCUCAGUCGGUGGAGCAUGUGACUCUUGAUCUUGGGAUUGUGAGUUCGAGCCUCACACUGGGUG
Molecule: transfer RNA, 73 nt
Filed under: Felis catus (domestic cat)
Lineage: Eukaryota; Metazoa; Chordata; Mammalia; Carnivora; Felidae
Rfam family: tRNA
About the family: Transfer RNA (tRNA) molecules are approximately 80 nucleotides in length. Their secondary structure includes four short double-helical elements and three loops (D, anti-codon, and T loops). Further hydrogen bonds mediate the characteristic L-shaped molecular structure. tRNAs have two regions of fundamental functional importance: the anti-codon, which is responsible for specific mRNA codon recognition, and the 3' end, to which the tRNAs corresponding amino acid is attached (by aminoacyl-tRNA synthetases). tRNAs cope with the degeneracy of the genetic code in two manners: having more than one tRNA (with a specific anti-codon) for a particular amino acid; and 'wobble' base-pairing, i.e. permitting non-standard base-pairing at the 3rd anti-codon position.
Source: Rfam by way of RNAcentral